This 281-nucleotide unclassified non-coding RNA is filed under the name plant metagenome. Its description in RNAcentral is "partial contains 5.8S ribosomal RNA, internal transcribed spacer 2, and large subunit ribosomal RNA". The record is from RNAcentral.
GACCGAGUACAUCAUCGAUGUCAUCUCCGCGGCGCCGGCGGGCACGACCUGGGCAGUCGGCACAGAGAUCAACCUCGUUCGCCGGCUCCAGGCGCGGAUGCCGGACAAGACGAUCUUCUGCCUGGACCCUGUCAUCUGCCCCUGUUCGACGAUGUACCGCAUCCACCCUGCCUACAUGCUCUGGGUGCUCGAACACCUGGAUCGUGGUGAGGUCGUCAACGAGAUCACGGUCGAUCCGGUGAAUGCCUCGCAGGCGCGCGUCGCCCUUGACCGCAUGCUCG